GAAGACCAAAAUUGACAUGGGAAGAGGUAAUAAAAGGAGAUUUGAAGGGAUGGAAUAUAGCUAAAGAUUUAGCCCUGGAUAGGAGUGCUUGGAAAACAGCUAUUCAUGUGCCCGAACCCUGAUUUGUGGCUCUUGUUGGGUUUCAACUCUAGCCUACCCCAACUUGCUUGGGACUGAAAGGCUAUGUUGUUGUUGUUGUUGUUGAUCUAUAUGUGUUCAUGUAUAUUUGUCAUUCCUGGAACCUGCUAUGUGUUGCUUCCUAAAAUCUUAGUCCCUGUUAAGCCUUUUU
Molecule: long non-coding RNA, 289 nt
Filed under: Setaria viridis
Lineage: Eukaryota; Viridiplantae; Streptophyta; Magnoliopsida; Poales; Poaceae
Description: long non-coding RNA (SVIR_LNC004827)
Source: RNAcentral